ACGUUUUCAGUAGAGACUGUCGCUCUUCAAGCUUCAUGAGUUUCUCCAACCCUCUUGCAACCAUUUCCAUCUCAGCCUGAGGAUUAGUAAACAAGAGAGGCAGUUUUGUGAAAACCAUGGAAGAGAUUUAUGGAGAAAAAAAUCUUCAACUUGUAAAGAAACAAAAGCACAUACAGAGUACUCGUUGGGAGGAAAUAUGCGAUGAAUGAGGCAUAUUUUCGACAGCUCUGCCACCGAUUCAGAAUGUUUACCUUGUAUUUCCAAAGCCUGCAGUAACAUCGAAUUUGCUUAGAAUAAAAAUUAGGACAAAGAGUAAGCAAUACUGCAGUAAAUAUACACAAGAAGAAGGCUAGAAACGCACCCAAGCUUGUAGAAACCAUGAACGUGUGCGUGCUGCAACUGCUGCAGAAACCAUUCUAGCAGCAUCUAUCUUUGCAAGUCCAAUGUUCUCAGCGAGCCCAGCAAUGAACUCUCGGGCAUCUUCACUACAAAUCUCAACAGAAGAAGACUCCCACGGAGCUCUACACGAGAGUUACCAAACAAGUUCAGAAUUAUACCAAAAGCCAAACCAGUAGAAUCUACUUAACAAGUAAAGGUCAAUAGAUAGAAACCUGCUGCAAGCGUUCAGGACAAAAUCAAUAGAUGUUCUGUAAAAGGAAUCUCCUGUAUUUUUUGGCUCAAAAGUGACUUGUACUCCAGAAAUUCUACAUACUCUACGCAGCUGUAUAUAAUUUCAUAGCAACAAAGAAAGAUAAAAAUCCAAUUAAUUCAAAUCCAUUCAA
Arabidopsis thaliana (thale cress) is the source of this 782-nucleotide long non-coding RNA. RefSeq annotates it as other RNA. The transcript has a single exon. The record is from RefSeq. NCBI's taxonomy places the organism in Eukaryota, Viridiplantae, Streptophyta, Magnoliopsida, Brassicales, Brassicaceae.